AUUAAAAAAAAGACCGAAUACGAUUCCUAUAUUCGGUCCAGGGAAAUGGCUCUUGGAUAGAGCCGUGCGCUAAAAGUUGGCAUUAAUGUAAGCUGUUUAAUCUUACGUAACUGAGUAUAGAAGUUUACGGGGGGUUUUCCAUCGA
RNAcentral lists this small RNA (145 nucleotides) under Sodalis ligni. Lineage: Bacteria; Pseudomonadati; Pseudomonadota; Gammaproteobacteria; Enterobacterales; Bruguierivoracaceae. The record is from RNAcentral.